Molecule: ribosomal RNA, 316 nt
Filed under: Salmonella enterica
Lineage: Bacteria; Pseudomonadati; Pseudomonadota; Gammaproteobacteria; Enterobacterales; Enterobacteriaceae
Also listed under: 1 other name
Description: partial 23S ribosomal RNA
Rfam family: Bacterial large subunit ribosomal RNA
Source: RNAcentral
GAGCACUGUUUCGGCUAGGGGGCCAUCCCGGCUUACCAACCCGAUGCAAACUGCGAAUACCGGAGAAUGUUAUCACGGGAGACACACGGCGGGUGCUAACGUCCGUCGUGAAGAGGGAAACAACCCAGACCGCCAGCUAAGGUCCCAAAGUCAUGGUUAAGUGGGAAACGAUGUGGGAAGGCCCAGACAGCCAGGAUGUUGGCUUAGAAGCAGCCAUCAUUUAAAGAAAGCGUAAUAGCUCACUGGUCGAGUCGGCCUGCGCGGAAGAUGUAACGGGGCUAAACCAUGCACCGAAGCUGCGGCAGCGACGCUGAUG